Molecule: ribosomal RNA, 451 nt
Filed under: uncultured bacterium
Lineage: Bacteria
Description: partial 16S ribosomal RNA
Rfam family: Bacterial small subunit ribosomal RNA
Source: RNAcentral
AACGAACGCUGGCGGCAGGCUUAACACAUGCAAGUCGAACGGAUGUAGCAAUACAUUAGUGGCGCACGGGAGAGUAACGCGUGGGAACCUACCCUUUGGUCUGGGAUAACGUCGGGAAACUGACGCUAAUACCGGAUAAUCCCUAUGGGGCAAAGAUUUAUUGCCGAAGGAUGGGCCCGCGUUGGAUUAGCUAGUUGGUGAGGUAAUGGCCCACCAAGGCUACGAUCUAUAGCUGAUCUGAGAGGAUGAUCAGCCUCAUUGGGACUGAGACACGGCCCAAACUCCUACGGGAGGCAGCAGUGGGGAAUAUUGGACAAUGGGGGAAACCCUGAUCCAGCCAUGCCGCGUGAGUGAUGAAGGCCUUCGGGUUGUAAAGCCCUUUUAGUAGGGACGAUAAUGACGGUACCUACAGAAUAAGCUCCGGCUAACUUCGUGCCAGCCGCCGCCGUAA